This 876-nucleotide ribosomal RNA is filed under the name uncultured archaeon. RNAcentral's name for it is "bacterial SSU rRNA". It matches the Rfam family "Archaeal small subunit ribosomal RNA", at positions 31 to 913 of the family's 1478-position model. The record is from RNAcentral.
UAUCGGAUUGAUACUAAGCCAUGCGAGUCAUUGUAGCAAUACAAGGCAUACGGCUCAGUAACGCGUAGUCAACCUAACCUAUGGACGGGAAUAACCUCGGGAAACUGAGAAUAAUGCCCGAUAGAACAUUAUGCCUGGAAUGGUUUAUGUUCCAAAUGAUUUAUCGCCGUAGGAUGGGACUGCGGCCUAUCAGUUUGUUGGUGAGGUAAUGGCCCACCAAGACUAUUACAGGUACGGGCUCUGAGAGGAGUAGCCCGGAGAUGGGUACUGAGACACGGACCCAGGCCCUAUGGGGCGCAGCAGGCGAGAAAACUUUGCAAUGUGCGAAAGCACGACAAGGUUAAUCCGAGUGGUUUCUGCUAAAGGAACCUUUUGUCAGUCCUAGAAACACUGAUGAAUAAGGGGUGGGCAAGUUCUGGUGUCAGCCGCCGCGGUAAAACCAGCACCUCAAGUGGUCAGGAUGAUUAUUGGGCCUAAAGCAUCCGUAGCCGGCUCUGUAAGUUUUCGGUUAAAUCUGUACGCUCAACGUACAGGCUGCCGGGAAUACUGCAAAGCUAGGGAGUGGGAGAGGUAGACGGUACUCGGUAGGAAGGGGUAAAAUCCUUUGAUCUAUUGAUGACCACCUGUGGCGAAGGCGGUCUACCAGAACACGUCCGACGGUGAGGGAUGAAAGCUGGGGGAGCAAACCGGAUUAGAUACCCGGGUAGUCCCAGCUGUAAACCAUGCAAACUCAGUGAUGCAUUGGCUUGUGGCCAAUGCAGUGCUGCAGGGAAGCCGUUAAGUUUGCCGCCUGGGAAGUACGUACGCAAGUAUGAAACUUAAAGGAAUUGGCGGGGGAGCACCACAAGGGGUGAAGCCUGCGGUUCAAUUGGAGUC